CAGUUGAGCGCUUUCUCAGUCUCUGGCACAUUCAGUAGAGCAUGGCUGCAAUGGGACUCUUCCUCCUCACACUCCUGAUCUCUGUUCAUGGGACCAGCGCUGAGAUCAUCAUGACUCAAAGUCCCACAGUGGAGUCUGUUGCUGUUGGAGGGAGCGUCACUCUUAACUGCAGGGCCAGCAGCUCUGUUUCCAAUUAUGUAGCCUGGUAUCAGCAGAGACCUGGAGAAAGUCCUAAACUCCUGUUCUACUAUGUGGGUAACAGAGUGUCAGGGACUCCAGCCCGAUUCACUGAUGGCCAGUCUGGAACCAAAUUCACGCUGAAAAUCAGUGGAGUCCAGGCUGAAGAUGCAGGAGAUUACUACUGUCAACAGGGUAAUACAUACACUUUUGGUGGAGGCACUAGACUGAAUGUCUGAAGUAACAGCCAGCCGGUCCUGACUGUACUUACUCCCUCGAAUGCGGAAGGCACCAGCAAGGGGACGGCGACGCUGAUGUGCCUGGCGAGGCAGGGCUUCCCGUCGGACUGGACGCUGCGCUGGAAGGUGGACGGUCUGAGCAAGAGCACCGCGGGCAGCGGAGGCGUCAUGGGGAAGGACGGUCUGUACAGCUGGAGCAGCACUUUGACCCUCACUAAUGCGGAGUGGACCAAGGCGGUCACAGUGACCUGCGAGGCCACGCAGGGUUCCCAAUCUCCGGUCGCUCAUAUGAUAAGGAAAGCCGACUGCUCCGUGUAGGCAGUGUUAAACAGUUGAUUGCCGUUGUUACCCAGCUCAAAAUGCCGCUUUUCUCCAUGCCGCGAUUUAUUAAAAUGAAGUAGGCUUUUCUUGUCGUAUUCAGGUUAUCGUUGCAACAAUAAAUGUGCUCUGUUUUAGUUCACUAUUAGAUAUGUAUGUGCUAUGUGCUGAUUGAUGGGUUAUACAUAUAACCGAGAACAAUAAACAAAUAUAUGUGAAUCAA
Non-coding RNA from Conger conger (European conger), 957 nucleotides. NCBI's taxonomy places the organism in Eukaryota, Metazoa, Chordata, Actinopteri, Anguilliformes, Congridae. The record is from the annotation of a RefSeq genome assembly.